Molecule: ribosomal RNA, 500 nt
Filed under: uncultured bacterium
Lineage: Bacteria
Description: bacterial SSU rRNA
Rfam family: Bacterial small subunit ribosomal RNA
Source: RNAcentral
UUCUUCGGAACACGUGGACAGGUGCUGCAUGGCUGUCGUCAGCUCGUGUCGUGAGAUGUUGGGUUAAGUCCCGCAACGAGCGCAACCCUUGCCCCGUGUUGCCAUCGGGUAAAGCCGGGCACUCUCGGGGGACUGCCGGCGUCAAGCCGGAGGAAGGUGGGGACGACGUCAAGUCAUCAUGGCCCUUACGUCCAGGGCUACACACGUGCUACAAUGGCCGGUACAGAGGGCUGCGAACUCGCGAGAGAGAGCGAAUCCCAGAAAACCGGUCCAAGUUCGGAUCGCAGGCUGCAACCCGCCUGCGUGAAGCCGGAAUCGCUAGUAAUCGCGGAUCAGCUACGCCGCGGUGAAUACGUUCCCGGGCCUUGUACACACCGCCCGUCACGCCAUGGAAGUCGGGAGCGCCCGAAGUCCGUGUGCUAACCCGCAAGGGAGGCAGCGGCCGAAGGCGAGCUCGAUGACUGGGGCGAAGUCGUAACAAGGUAGCCGUAGGGGAACCC